AAAAACAUAAACUGUAUAAUUUAUAAUAUAAAUUAAUAUAUUAAUAAAUUUUAUCAUUGAAAGUCUUAUCGUUUUCUUAUCUCGAGACGGAAAGAAACGUCGAACUAAUCUCAAAGGUAGCAAGCGUGCUGCAAUUGUUGGCAAUGACUAGAAAAUUAUUCAGCGGUAUUUUUUGUUCAUUGUUAUAUCCAAGCUUUUGUAUUGCCCGGAAGUAAAAGUACAGCCAUGGGUUAAGAAAUAUUUAAUUAUUUAAGUAAAUUUCAUAGACAAACAAAUCAAUAGGAGGUGACGUAAGUGAAAAGUUUUAAAAACAAAGAAGAUAAAAAUGACAUAUGGGUUUGAAUUGCGUAGUUUCAUUUUUCCCCUAAAAAUCAAUCAAAUUAACUGGCAAUUGGAUCUAUGCUGGUUUUAUUAGAGUUGACAUAUCCCAUGCGAGGGUUUUUGUUUCCUCUUUUCCUUCGAAAUCUAAUCUUAACUUAUCGAUACACAUAAACAAUCUGAUGGAGAUUUGUUCCCCUUGAGUAAUAUCCUUUUUAUAUUAUUUUAGACUACUCGUGAGUAAACAGUCGAGGCCACGAGGUCGAGGAAAUCCUGAAACUUGAAUGUCCAUUGAAAACCGUAAUAAAAAUAAUUAAAAGCAAUUAAUGGGCACCACUAGUGUGAAAUUUUGAAAAACUGUCUUUUUUUUCAUAUUUCGAUAGUCUAUACCUUUAAAAAUAUAUCAGAUCUUUUAAAAAAUUAAAAUCUCCAGUUUUCCGAUUGAAUAAAAAUUCAAAUUUACGCGCGAAAUUUGAAAUUUUUUUUAAAACUCCGGCAUUUUGAAAAAUUUCAUUUUUUUUUUUAUCGGGGGUCAUGGUACAGACAAUACCUUCUAGUUUAAUAAACUUUUGGGCUUUUUUGAUUUCGAGCUCUGUGAAGGUCGCUAUCACUGCAGCAAUGGGGGGACUUUUUUUGGAGCCUUGGGAAAUUGCGAACAAGUUGAAUUUCUAAUGAAAAUUAAAAAUCAUCUUUUUUUCAGGCGCUCACACUAAUGCUGCCCCUUAAAAAAAUGAUUUUAUUUUUAAAUCACUUAUUAAUUAAGUCGAUUUAUUACUGCGCGGCUGAUGAGACAAAACAUUUAGAAUUUGGCGUACGCUUGUUGCAUUUGUCUGACGUAAUACUGAAAGCUGGUGCAAUGCGGGAUUCGAGGGCCAAAAGAGUGGUCGUCUCCGUCGUCAGUUUACGAUACUAAAUUUUUAUUAGUAUAUAAAUGAAGAUGACAAAGAGGAAGAGAGACAGAGAGGGAAUGAGCGACAGAGAGAGGAUCAAAGCGCGUCAGAGCAGCCAAUCAAAUACAAAUGUCAUCAACAUUUGACCCUAAUGAAGAUUAUCUAGGCUUUGCGGUAUAUAUUAUAGUGUCUCUGCUGGGAAAAAAAAUAUUAUUUCUGCUGGUAAAAAAUAGCAAAAAAAGCGAAGAAGAAUCUCGUAUAAAAGUGGAAGAGUUGAGGAAAAAGAGGACAGCAACGCAAAAGAGCCGUGAGCGGGAAUGAAAGACAUUGCAAAGCGUGAAUACAAAGAAGAUUUCUCGAAACUGAUCGACCUUCCUUCCAGCAGCAACAACUGUAUGUACAAUUCUCUUUACUUGGACUUUUCAACGCCAGCAAACCCGUAAAAUUGCAUAAAAGUAAAACCAACUACGAGCUGGUCUUCCUCAUCCUUGUAUACACAAUUACUCGGCUAAUGUAAUAAGCGAAACAAAUAAUAAUUAAAUAUAAAAGUAAAUAAAAUAAUGGAAAAUAAAUGUGUACAAAGUGGUUGGAACAACAGUCGGUAUUGUACUGAAGAUUUAAUUAAUCAAACAAUCGUUAUUAAAUUUAAUUACUUUUAUUAUUUCAUUUAACUUUUGUCUCCGGCAGUGUGUUGCGUCGUUGUACAGCCGCAUGCUCUUGGAAUGCUGAAGAGCAACCCAAUGUCAGUUUCUUCGAUCUCCAGUGCACAAGAAAAGACCAAGAGGAAAAGAAUAUGGAGAAGAGAAGAUGUAGGAGGUGAAAGAGGUGGUGGCAAGCUCAUGCACUCAAGACUAAAGCAACUAAUGUACAGAAAGAGAAAAAAAAUUUAAGAGGAAAGAGAGUGAGGAUAAAAAGCUCACGAGUGUAUAUGUACAUGAAUGAUACAUAUAUACGCAGCCAGAAUUGAGGCCAACAUUCAACCCCCGUGAAUUUAUUUGCCAGUACAUAUUUUAAGUGAAGAAAAAGAUGAGGUCUACAAGAGAUUAUUGGAAUUUAUUCAUACGAAAAAAAAUUAUCAGCGUUACUGUCAUGUGACGAGAUUCGGCUUCAAGAUAAUUUAAAAAAUAUAUAUAUAUUUACUUUGAGGAAAUAUAUUUAAUUAAUUUUUUUUCCGCUGUUUACUGUCGCAACCACUUGACUUUUCAUCACACAGUUCCUUUAUUCUUCGCCCCUAUCGCAAUUUCUCCUUAUUUUCUUCCUGAUUUUCUUCUUCAUCCCAGCUAUUUUCAGUCAGCCUUCGUACUAUUUGUGCGUGCUCGAGACUCAUUGGACCAUAAAUUAUAAUUUCAGUCCUAAUAUAAAUGUCCACUAAUUUAUUAUCCUUAUGGAUGGCAUUAAAGUUUAUGUCCUAUUUAGAUUUUUAUUAUAUUUGUUUGUGGUUUACUAUCUCUAAUGACCUAUUACACAUUAUUUAAUAUUCUAGUCGACUAAUGUAAUUAACGGUAAUACAAUAAGUCACUAUAAAGAAUGAUAUCUUACAUUACUUAAUAAAGAGGAGCCACGUGCGGGCCUUUGCGUGCCAAAAGACUAACCGUCGAGACACAUUUUAGUUUCGCAAAAUGUUUAUCUGGCUUACUAUUACUUCACGUGUGACUGUCUAUCACGUUUUCUAUGCCAAAAAUUUUAAAAACAUCCAUCAAUUAUUACACAUAUCACACAUCAUAUCCUUGACACACUUCAUUUCAUUUAAUACUUCCUCAAUAUAUUAUCAUUACACAUUUCCUCAUUCAUAUAUAAAAUAUAUAGAUACCGAUCGCUACA
Long non-coding RNA from Microplitis mediator, 3029 nucleotides. RefSeq lists it as uncharacterized. The record is from RefSeq and is a predicted model, not a curated record. The transcript has 3 exons. Lineage: Eukaryota; Metazoa; Arthropoda; Insecta; Hymenoptera; Braconidae.